UGUGCUGUCCAAGGAGAGUUUUCUUGC
This 27-nucleotide non-coding RNA is filed under the name Rattus norvegicus (Norway rat). The record is from RNAcentral. Lineage: Eukaryota; Metazoa; Chordata; Mammalia; Rodentia; Muridae.